UUCCCUCUUUCAUCAUUCGAAAAAAAACCUCUCUCUGUAACUCACGCCUUCUCUCUCAAAAUCUUAUACCCAAAAAUUAAAAGCAAAGUUCCCAUCUCUUCUUCCUUGCUCUCCUAACACACUCCAUAGAGCAAAAAUCUCGGUUCCCAUCAUAGAUCUCUCUAAAUCUCAAUUCACAGGAACAAAAAAAAAAUCCCACUCCAGUCACAACUCUCUCUCUCUCUCGGUCUCGCCGGUAAUAGCUCGCCGCCGCUGCCCCUGUCACGCUCGGCCUCCGUCGCCGCAGCCACUGUCCGUUCACGACAGACAUUGGAACUUUAAGAAUUGAGCUCGAAGGAAAUAAAUGAAGAUCAACACAGGGAUUUUACGUGGUUCGAUUUACUGAUGUAAAU
Salvia splendens (bonfire salvia) is the source of this 392-nucleotide long non-coding RNA. RefSeq lists it as uncharacterized. The record is from RefSeq and is a predicted model, not a curated record. NCBI's taxonomy places the organism in Eukaryota, Viridiplantae, Streptophyta, Magnoliopsida, Lamiales, Lamiaceae. The transcript is spliced from 3 exons.